UAGGGAAUCUUCCGCAAUGGGCGAAAGCCUGACGGAGCAACGCCGCGUGAGUGAUGAAGGUCUUCGGAUCGUAAAACUCUGUUAUUAGGGAAGAACAAAUGCUUAAGUAACUAUGCACGUCUUGACGGUACCUAAUCAGAAAGCCACGGCUAACUACGUGCCAGCAGCCGCGGUAAUACGUAGGUGGCAAGCGUUAUCCGGAAUUAUUGGGCGUAAAGCGCGCGUAGGCUGUUUUUUAAGUCUGAUGUGAAAGCCCACGGCUCAACCGGGGAGGGUCAUUGGAAACUGGAAAACUUGAUGGCAGAAGAGGAAAGUGGAAUUCCAUGUGUAGCGGUGAAAUGCGCAGAGAUAUGGAGGAACACCAGUGGCGAAGGCGACUUUCUGGUCUGUAACUGACGCUGAUGUGCGAAAGCGUGGGGAUCAAACAGG
RNAcentral lists this ribosomal RNA (429 nucleotides) under Actinomycetes bacterium. Its description in RNAcentral is "Actinobacteria bacterium partial 16S ribosomal RNA". It matches the Rfam family "Bacterial small subunit ribosomal RNA", at positions 355 to 776 of the family's 1533-position model. The record is from RNAcentral. Lineage: Bacteria; Bacillati; Actinomycetota; Actinomycetes.